AGGCAGCAGUGGGGGAAUAUUGCACAAUGGGGGAAACCCUGAUGCAGCCAUGCCGCGUGUGUGAAGAAGGCCUUCGGGUUGUAAAGCACUUUCAGUAGGGAGGAAGGUAGUGUAGUUAACACCUGCAUUAUUUGACGUUACCUACAGAAGAAGCACCGGCUAACUCCGUGCCAGCAGCCGCGGUAAUACGGAGGGUGCGAGCGUUAAUCGGAAUUACUGGGCGUAAAGCGCAUGCAGGCGGCCUGUUAAGUCAGAUGUGAAAGCCCGGGGCUUAACCUCGGAAUUGCAUUUGAAACUGGCAGGCUAGAGUCUUGUAGAGGGGGUAGAAUUUCAGGUGUAGCGGUGAAAUGCGUAGAGAUCUGAAGGAAUACCAGUGGCGAAGGCGGCCCCCUGGACAAAGACUGACGCUCAGAUGCGAAAGCGUGGGGAGCAAACAGGAUUAGAUACCCUGGUAG
This 455-nucleotide ribosomal RNA is filed under the name uncultured bacterium. RNAcentral's name for it is "bacterial SSU rRNA". It matches the Rfam family "Bacterial small subunit ribosomal RNA", at positions 346 to 793 of the family's 1533-position model. The record is from RNAcentral.